ACUCCAGUGGCGCAAUCGGUCAGCGCGCGGUAUUUACGAUGCUGAGAUUGUGAGUUCGAGCCUCGCCUGGAGCA
Molecule: non-coding RNA, 74 nt
Organism: Cnephaeus nilssonii (northern bat)
Lineage: Eukaryota; Metazoa; Chordata; Mammalia; Chiroptera; Vespertilionidae
Source: the annotation of a GenBank genome assembly